RNA transcript from Ficedula albicollis (Collared flycatcher), 8076 nucleotides. It is a transcript of the gene named valosin containing protein (p97)/p47 complex interacting protein 1, with no coding region annotated. The transcript has 4 exons. The record is from RefSeq and is a predicted model, not a curated record. NCBI's taxonomy places the organism in Eukaryota, Metazoa, Chordata, Aves, Passeriformes, Muscicapidae.
GGUCGUUGUCCGGCACGCAGGGAAUGCGCCUGUGAGGGCGGCGGAGGAGCGGGUGCCGGGUGAAGCCCCGGCGGAGCGGAGCGAUGUCCCAGCCCCAGCAGCCGCCGCCGCCGUCCUCUCAGCAGCAGCCGCAGCCGCCGCCUCCGUCCGCCUCCAAGAAGCGAGACCGGCGCAUCUUCUCGGGUACCUGCCCCGAUCCCAAAUGCCAGGCGCGGCUGUUCUUCCCGGCGCACGGGCCGCAGGGCAGCGGCAGCAUCGAGUGCACGGACUGCGGGCGGCGCCACGAGCAGCGGCAGCUGCUGGCCGUGGAGGAGGUGACGGACCCCGACCUGGUGCUGCACAACCUGCUGCGGAAUGCGCUGCUGGGCGUCAGCGGCGCCGGCCCGCCCCGCAGGAACACCGAGCUCGUCAAAGUCAAUGGCCUCUCCAACUACCACUGCAAGCUCCUGGCCCCCAUCCUGGCCCGCUAUGGGAUGGACAAGCAGACUGGCAAAGCCAAACUCCUCACGGAGAUGAACCAGGGAGACAUCUUUGACUGCUCUCUCCUGGGCGACCGCGCCUUCCUCAUCGAGCCAGAGCACGUUGAAACCAUGGGUUAUGGGAAGGACCGCUCCGGCAGCCUCAUCUACUUGCACGACACCCUGGAGGACAUCAAGAAGGCCAACAACAGUCAAGAGUGCCUCAUUCCUGUCCACGUGGAUGGAGAUGGCCACUGCCUUGUCCAUGCAGUCUCAAGAGCACUUGUUGGCAGGGAACUGUUCUGGCAUGCUCUCCGAGAGAAUCUAAAGAAGCAUUUUGAGGAGAAUCUAAGCCACUACAAGGCACUUUUCCAUGACUUUAUUGAUGCUGCAGAGUGGGAGGAUAUUAUCAAUGAAUGUGACCCUUUGUUUGUUCCUCCAGAAGGUGUGCCAAUGGGCCUUAGGAAUAUUCACAUCUUUGGUCUAGCCAAUGUGCUUCACCGGCCUAUCAUCCUGUUAGACUCCUUGAGUGGAAUGCGAAGCUCUGGAGACUAUUCAGCAACAUUCCUCCCUGGUCUGAUACCUCUGGAAAAAUGCAUGGGGAAAGAUGGCAUGUUGAACAAGCCGAUCUGUAUUGCGUGGAGUAGCUCAGGACGUAACCAUUAUAUUCCUCUGGUUGGAAUAAAAGGUGCUGCUUUACCUAAGCUGCCUAGGAAGCUACUUCCUAAAGCCUGGGGAGUUCCUCAAGACCUCAUCAAAAAGUAUAUCAUGUUAGAGGAGGAUGGUGGUUGUAUUAUUGGAGGAGACAGAAGUUUGCAGGAUAAGUACUUGAUGAGGCUUGUUGCUGCAAUGGAGGAGGUUUUCAUGAGUAAACAUGGUAUCCACCCCAGCCUUGUAGCUGAUGUGCAUCAAUAUUUCUACAGAAGGACUGGUGUAAUAGGGGUCCAGCCCGAAGAGGUCACUGCAGCUGCCAAAAAAGCAGUGAUGGACAACCGCCUUCACAGGUGCCUCAUCUGUGGGGCUCUUUCAGAGCAUCACGUUCCCCCUGAGUGGCUGGCUCCUGGGGGGAAGCUGUAUAACCUGGCAAAAAGUACUCAUGGCCAGCUAAGGCCUGACAAAAAUUACAGUUUUCCCCUGAACAGUUUGGUGUGUUCUUACAACCCUGUGAAGGAUGUGCUGGUACCAGAUUAUGGCCUGAGUAACUUGACUGUUUGUAACUGGUGCCACGGUAACUUAAUGCGUCGUGUCAGAGAAGAUGGGUCUGUUUUGUAUAUUGAUGGAGACAGAACUAAUACUAGGUCUUCAGGUGGCAAAUGUGGCUGUGGAUUCAAGCAUUACUGGGAAGGUAAAGAAUAUGACAAUCUGCCUGAAGCUUUUCCUAUAACUCUAGAGUGGGGUGGAAGAGUGGUGAGAGAGACUGUCUACUGGUUCCAGUAUGAAAGUGACACCUCUUUGAACAGCAACGUGUAUGAUGUCGCCAUGAAACUUGUUACCAAGCACUUCCCUGGUGAAUUUGGUAGCGAGAUUCUUGUGCAGAAAGUUGUCAACACAAUACUGCACCAAACUGCCAAAAAGAACCCUGAUGAUUAUACCCCUGUAAAUAUCGAUGGUGCUCACGCCCAAAGAGCUGAUGAUGUACAGCAAGGACAAGAAUUAGAGUCACAACUUCCAACCAAAAUAAUUUUGACUGGACAGAAGACUAAAACUUUGCACAAGGAGGAGUUGAAUAUGAGCAAAGCUGAAAGAACUAUUCAGCAGAACAUUGCAGACCAGGCUUCUGUAAUGCAGAAACGGAAAAGUGAGAAAUUGAAACAGGAGCAUAAAGGGCAACCCAGGACUGCUUCUCCUGGGGCUGUUCGUGAGGGGCCCUCGUCCGCACCUGCUACACCAACCAAAACCCCAUAUUCUCCAACUUCUGCAAAAGAAAAGAAAAUUCGAAUAACCACCAACGAUGGGAGGCAGUCAAUGCUUACCUUGAAGUGCACUACCACCUUCUUGGAACUCCAGGAAGGCAUAGCAAGAGAAUUUAAUAUUCCCCCGUAUUUGCAAUGUAUUCGCUACGGCUUUCCUCCAAAAGAGCUUCUGCCUCCCAAAGAAGGCAUGGAAAACGAGCCUGUUCCUUUGCAGCACGGUGACAGGAUUGCCAUAGAAAUCCUCAAGGGCAAGGAGGAAAGCAGGCAGGCUGCCUCAGCACACUCAGCCCAUGCUGUGAAGCACGAAGAUGUUGCUGUGACCAGUAAGAUCUCAUCGAAGGAUCUGCAAGAGCAAGUCGACAAGGAGAUGUAUUCACUCUGUCUUCUGGCAACGCUCAUGGGAGAAGAUGUUUGGUCUUAUGCAAAGGGGCUUCCUCAGUUGUUUCAGCAGGGUGGAGUAUUCUACAGUAUAAUGAAGAAAACAACAGGUUUGGCUGAUGGCAAGCACUGCACUUUUCCACAUCUGCCUGGUAAAAACUUUGUGUACAAUGCAGCAGAAGACAGAUUAGAGCUGUGUGUGGAUGCUGCUGGGCACUUCCCGAUCGGUCCUGAUGUUGAAGAGCUGGUUAAAGAGGCCUUAAGUCAAGUGCGAGCAGAAGCUGCUUCAAGAAGCAGGGAAGCAAGUCCUUCACAUGGAAUGCUGAAGCUGGGUAGUGGUGGAGUAGUGAAAAAGAAAUCUGAACAACUACAUAACAUAACUGCAUUUCAAGGAAAGGGUCAUUCCCUAGGAACUGCAUCUAGUAGUCAACAACAUGAUCAAAGAGCCAGGGAAACACCACUUUUAAGAAAGCAUAGCACAGAAACGGACUUCAGUCCUUCUGCUAAAAUUGAGCCUUCUGUAUUCACAGCUGCUUCUGGUAACAGUGAGCUUAUUCGAAUUGCUCCGGGAGUUGUGACAAUGAGAGACAGCAGGCAGCUUGACCCCACUUUGAUUGAGGCACAGAGAAAAAAGUUGCAGGAAAUGGUCUCUUCUAUUCAGGCUUCAAUGGAUAGACAUUUGCGGGAUCAGAAUACAGAGCAGUCAGCAUCAGUUGAUGUAUCUCAAAGGAAAGUAGAGGCAGUGAGUUCAACUGCUAAAACUGGGAGCUUUCAGGCUGCCUUACCCGAAUCAUUCUCUGCACCAGGUGGUACUGAAUGCUUGAAUACUGAAUCAACUGAUGGUAACAUGGUGAAUUCUGUGGGAACAACAUUCCCUGCAAGGUCUAAAGCACAAAAGGGAAAUUCUGUUGAGGAGCUUGAGGAGAUGGAUAGUCAAGAUGCAGGAAUCACUAAUGCAACUGAGCCAAUGGAUCACUCUUGAUAGGUUAAAAUCUAAUAAGGGUAGAAGAAAUUACUGUUCAAAUGUAAUGUUUAUUGGCUGGGCCACACAAAGUGAUUAGUUAUUAAAUCUUGUAUGUAUGUCAAAGAUUAUAUCAUCUUAUUCAGUGCAUGAUAAGCAUGUGAUUGGCAAUAGCUUUCAAUAUUACCAUACUGCUGCCCAGGCUGGCUCUGUUACCUGUAAAUUAGUUAUUAGGAAAUGCACUGAGAUAAAUAUCUGCUGUACAUGUGGGUUCUUGAAAAUUCUUUGUAAUUUUUAAUUUCUUAAAAGUCUUAAAAUUUAAGCCCAUGCAAGGUUCUUACCAUGCUAGCUUAAGGUUACUGGAAGGGCUAGAACAGGCAAAACUAGAAACAUGGCAAAGUUAAUUCUGCUCCAGGUGCAAUAAAAAAGACACUAUUAUCAUAAAUGAGACAUGAAUUUCAAAAAGUAACUGAAACUAAACUUCUGCUCAAUUUGAUAAUGCAGUACUUUUAAUUAUAUUUUGCUGGCACUUCUCCAAUUUUUUAACUUUUUCAUUCAUAUCCUCCUCUCAAAUCUUGGAAUAAGUGUAACUUCAGUAAACUGAAGUCUAAACUUUCCUAUUGCCAGUUAGAAAGCAAGUUAGGAAAAAGGCCACAUAGCAUAUGAUGAAGAUAGCUUGAAUGUGCUGUGGUUAUGCAUGGCUGUCUGAGCCAACACAACCAUUUUGGUGCUCUAUUGGUAGCUUGUCUUUAUUUCCUCCCAAACACCAAACUGGUCAGGUGGUUGUGCAACUUUUGAGACAGUUUAGGGAAAACAGGCAAUCGCAAGUAAGAGCAAAUGUUCAAUGGCAGAUCCAUUUCUUUUAGAAGACUUAGAUUGCUAGCAUUGGUUAGAAAUGGCAAAAAAAAUGAAAUAACUGUCCUCUUAAGAGCAAAUUAACAAUUUAUUGAAAGGAAAUGACUCUCUAACACACAUUAUCCUAAAGCAUUUGGUGAUAAUUGAGCUUUUAGAAGCUCACUGUUUACUCUGUGGGAACAAUGAAUACAUGCUGUUUCAGUGUCUAUAAAGACUACCCACCUCUCUCAGCCUCACUUCAGUUUGUGAUGCAGAUUUCCCUGUAUCAGUGAUAAUAGAGCUGGUAUCCACUUAAAUAGUAUGUUCAUCAGACCUGUAGUGCUAAUUUUUAAGAAGCAGCCAUUGUGCUUGCUCCCUAAGGAUGGAAUGUGUUUCUGAUAACUGCACUUUGCUUCCUACCUUCAUAGUCAUUUAAAUGCAUUAUCGUUGCUUCUUCUCGUGGUAAAAUAACAUUGAAUGGAUGAAAAGAUGUUAAAACAGCUUGAAAGGAAUUAAGAGCAUUUAAAUACUGAAAUCUGUGUUUGUGCACAUGUAGGUUUUUACCAGUUCACAAAUGUGGUUUGUGUUGUAUAUGUUUGUAUUCAGAAAAGUCUCCUCACUUUUUACAUUUAUAAUCACUUAAACAGUUCUAAGCAUUAGUAUGUAAAAUGUCCCAUGAGGAAGGAUUUAUUUUUGUAUGUAGAACUGAAAUGAAGCAAGUCACUUAAAGAAUAGCCCUUCUCUUCUGUCAAAGUAAAUUAAAAUGCCUCUGUUGGUUAACUUUUUAUGUAGAUGGUACAAAUAUUUUAUGAUUUUUUACACAACUUAGAGGUAAAAUAGAAAUAUCACAUUUCCACAAAUAAAUGAAAAAUGUUCAGAUCUCAAAUUGCUAUCUGGUAAGUUAGCAGUUUGGAAACUUGGAAUGUAUAAAGCAAUUGGCUUGCCAGAACUGACCUUGCUGAUGCACUGAUUAACUGGCAGGGCUUAUUCAAUGGGAAACAGGAUGCACAGGCAGCACCUGGAAGCCUGCCAUGACUUCUGAAAACAUUUAGUCUCCCAUGAAUCAGUCUAGCUCGCUGAAGGCUACAUCUAUAUAGAAAAUGUUGACUAGAGGCUUGUGUUUUGUCACAGUGUUAGAAAAAUAUAGCAGUGACUUAUUCCUGGGAAAAAAUUUAAAUUGGGAGAGGCUGAGGGGGAGGAAUCUCCUGGAUCUCUUGCAUUUUAGACCAGGUAACCAAUGCUUUGACAGUUGUAACCUUUUCUGUAGGAAAAAAAAAUCUUCCUUGGCUGGAAAAAUGAUGAGCGAGCAGUGUAUAUGAGCGAAAUUCAAGUUUGAAAUAAAUUGGAAUAUUUAUUGCACAUCAUUCUUAUUUCAAGGAAAAAUGCUUGCUUCUUUCAUGCCUUUCUGGUAAGACUGCAGAAGUUUGUGUGCCUUUUACUGUGUAAAGAGGAAGGCUUGGUUUAGUUUUGACACACUUCCCAUUUCAGCAGUAAUUUGACAUUUUCCUUAUCUAAGUAGACAUGGAAACGGAUAAUAGCUCUGACUCACCAUUAGUGUCAUCUCGGGCCCACUCAAGUCAUGUAGAUCAGAACCCUCCAGUUCCUAAAAGAAGAUGGUCUCACAGGCCUGAUAAAAUGGUGUUAAUCACAAGAUCCACUUAGUGAAUUCUCAAAGGCAAGAUUGUGCAUAUUUCUUUGCAGUGCUCUUAUCUCACAUAGCUUUUUCAUGCAUUUAGUAUCAGUGGUUUUGAGAUAGGUAGCUUUUGAUACUCUCAAUUGAAGCUAAACUUCAUCUACGUGCCAAUGAGAUGUGUGACUGGGCAGGAGAAGUGAAAUAAAGAACACUGAAGUGUAAGUUGGAACAGAUGUUUCAUUUGGUUGCUAGCAGUGGAUGCAAAUGUAAGUUGAGACAAAUCUGUGUGCCUGUCUAAGAAGCUCCAGUGUGCUUGUUAGAAUUCCCUGUUAAGAGUCAGGAAAAUGCUGGUGGGGGACAAGGGAAGACUUUGGCUCAUUGUGGAUGAGGUGUGUCAGUAGCACUUUUCAAAUGUCAAGAAUGGUGUCCUUUUCUUGAAAAGUAAAGGCAACCAACCCAAAUUCUUGCUACCAAAUUUCCUGUGGAAAGAGGUUGUGGUUUUGAGUGCCCACCUUGAUUACUUUCUUAGCUGAAGGCAAACAAGCUUCUACACUGCAUCUCAUGGCAAAGAGGACACAUUAUUAGAAAAUCCUAAAUAUUACUAUGGCUUAGUAUGUAUAAACCCAAAGAAAAAAUUAUUGUUAAAAAUACAGGCCUAGUACAAAAAUAAAAAGGGGAAUUAAUUAGAUUGCUGAUGAACAUUGGGAAACCUUGGGAGAAUGGAUCAGUUUUCCAGGGAAAUGCAAGAUUUUUACUACUUCAAAUGGCUGGCUGCUUAGUAAGGUUGACUAUUUGAUAGUGCUGUUUCUCUCUUUAUUGUUUGCAUUUCAGUGAGGGAAAAUAAAUAGCAGAUUUGCAAAUGAAAUCAAAGAAAUGUAUUUGGGAUGUCUUCCCUGUUGUAGUCACAAAACAGCUGUGUGCAUUGUUGGCUUUGUGAAUCCGGUAUAGUUUGCUAGUUUUGUGCUGGCUGCAAAAUACAAGCUAGACAUGCCUCUGACAGAGUGCUCUAGCAGUGUCACAGAGGCACAGUGCCACAGGGCUGUGUGCUUACAACCCUGCAAGGCCAAAAUACUUGAUUUAGAAUCUUCAUUAAGUAGAAUCUGUUGUCACUGUCACAGGGUUAGUGGAGUUGCUACUUUUUCAAUGUGCUGAAAAUGCCAGGUAACAAAAUUCUUGGUAUGUUUACAGUUGGGAGAGUGAUGCUCAAUCUGAGUUGUAUGGAAAAUGAAUUAUUUAAGAGGAUGCCACUGUUAUCUCUACAUUUGUCUGGCUCCUAUUUUUAAAUAUCAGAAUCUACAUGCUUUUGUAAAAUAAUAAUAAUAUGAAUAUGAAGUUAAUCCCUUUGUUAAGAAAAUGCCACAACAGAGAGUGGUUUCUUUGUUUUGCUUGUGGAUAUCAGUUUAGCUUCAUGAAGAAGUUGCUUAAGAUCUUUAGAAUGCAGGAUUCCCUCUGAGCCCUUAUGCCUGUGGUUGAGCAAUAAAAGGUUGAAACAAGAGUGGUAUUUUCAGAGUUAUUUUGCGUUUGAUGAGGAUUAUUGCCAAGAAAUGAAAGAGUGCACUUUUAGGAGGGAAUGCUAUUUAAAAUGUAUAAAUAGGAAUUAAAAUAGUGUAUAUAUUUAGAAAAAAAUCUUUUUAAAAAGUAAGUGCUUUACAUGUUGAAUUAAAAAUGAAUUAGCAUAGAAACUAUACCAUCCUCACAGUACUGGCUGUUAUCCAGCAAGGUUUGGUUUGUUUUAUUUGUGAUUGCUGUACUAAUUAUAUUUGAUUUUUUUUAUCUGUAAUGUAACAAUAGUGUAUUAUAACAGUAUAUAGUGUACUAUACUACACUUCACUGUACAGUAUUUGGAAUUUUCUUUGAUUGCUAUAUUAAAACUAUAAGUUAAAACAUCUGCUUUGGUUU